UCUUCGUUCGGCGUACUCUCUCACCGGUCAGAUUAACGAGAGAGUACGACGAAUGAAGAGA
RNAcentral lists this microRNA precursor (61 nucleotides) under Pristionchus pacificus. RNAcentral's name for it is "mir-8364 microRNA precursor family". It matches the Rfam family "mir-8364 microRNA precursor family". The record is from Rfam by way of RNAcentral. Lineage: Eukaryota; Metazoa; Nematoda; Chromadorea; Rhabditida; Neodiplogasteridae.